CAGAGAAUUGUUUAAUC
This 17-nucleotide microRNA is filed under the name Homo sapiens (human). Its description in RNAcentral is "hsa-miR-3123". The record is from miRBase by way of RNAcentral. Lineage: Eukaryota; Metazoa; Chordata; Mammalia; Primates; Hominidae.